This 253-nucleotide ribosomal RNA is filed under the name uncultured bacterium. RNAcentral describes it as "partial 16S ribosomal RNA". It matches the Rfam family "Bacterial small subunit ribosomal RNA", at positions 524 to 776 of the family's 1533-position model. The record is from RNAcentral.
UACGGGGGGGGCAAGCGUUGUUCGGAAUUACUGGGGGUAAAGGGCUCGUAGGUGGCCAACUAAGUCAGACGUGAAAUCCCUCAGCUUAACUGGGGAACUGCGUCUGAUACUGGAUGGCUUGAGUUUGGGAGAGGGAUGCGGAAUUCCAGGUGUAGCGGUGAAAUGCGUAGAUAUCUGGAGGAACACCGGUGGCGAAGGCGGCAUCCUGGACCAAUACUGACACUGAGGAGCGAAAGCCAGGGGAGCAAACGGG